Molecule: long non-coding RNA, 1678 nt
Organism: Theobroma umbraticum
Lineage: Eukaryota; Viridiplantae; Streptophyta; Magnoliopsida; Malvales; Malvaceae
Source: RefSeq, a predicted model, not a curated record
GUUUUAUAUUUACGGUCUCUCCCACUACUAUUUCGCCAAAUUCAACCAUUGAAGCACAGAUUUCUCUUUUCCAAUUCAUUUCAAGUCUUUGAUUUUUGGAUAUUAAGUCUUUUUCUCUUUCUCCAAAUUCAACAAUGGAGCGGUUUGAUUCUCGAUUAUUGAAUAUUAAAUCAUUUUCUCUUUCCCCAAAUUCAACAAUGGAGCGAUCUGGUUCUCAGUAAGUAUUCCUCUCUUUCAAUUUAUUUCAAGUCCUUGAUUGGUUAUAUUUUUGUUUUAGGUAGCUUUUUGGUAUUUUUUUCACUUCUUUUCUUCCUAAAGAUUUUUAAUCAUUAAAUGCAAAAUCUGACCCAACAAGUUUUAAUUUGUCACCAUGAUAUACUGGAAAUAACAGGGCUAGUAGUGCCCUAAAUAAAAGAGUUCUUGCCUCUGAAAAUGCGUUGACUGACCAAAGGAAUAGGAGACUGGGGGUAACAUACUUUCAAUAUGUUUCUGGGUUAAUAUUUGCAAGGUUUUAUUAUUUUAUCAUCUUUUAAGGUCAUGGAUUGUGUUAACUAUGAUGGAUUAUUCAUGUUGAUCUCCUUGCAUUGCUUUGAAUGUCUUUACAAACUCUGCCCAAUCUUUUGAAUGUCUUGAAUACCUUUCCUUUCUCUCUCUUAAUGUAAUAGGAAGCCAAAACUUUUGACUUCAGUUUGACUGCAGCAUCAUCAAGAUCUUGCAAAUAUGUCCUAAAUACACUUAUGCUGAAGAUUCCUAAAUUUUACGAGUCUGAUGCUACGAAAAGGCUUUGAAUUUACUCUAGAAUGAAGUGCUAUGUCUGCUAUAAAAGUAUCUACAAGAUAUGCCAAAUCUUGCCUCUACAAUAGGCAACAAACAUGUUUUGUGAUACUGCAAGGCUUGGAUGUCUAAAUUUUAUGAGGCUGAACAGAACUCUAAGCCAUUGAUUACCAUGGAAAAGGCAGUGGAUUUUCUCUGCAAUGAAGAAGCACUACUUCUGCUUGCUAAACAGUAAGCAUACUCACAAUGAUGAUGUUAAAGUUAUUCAUAUGCAUAGGUGCCUCUUUAAUGUUCUGGGAAUUAUCAAUUUGUAUGCAUCCAACAGAACAUUUUUUCAUGUGGCUCAAAUCAUAUUUUACAUUUAAUUUGUUAGGCACUUAGGCUUGUGUUCCAAAGAAUUGAUUACUAUUGCCAACCAUUGCAAGUAUAAAGUUGCAAAAGUUGUUGCUCAAUUAUAAACGAAAUUGCCAGAUUGUAGGAGUACAUUGAGCAGUGUAUUAAUUACUUUGAAAAGGCAGUAGAUUUCUUCCAAAGCCUACCGAUGCAAAGUCCAAGUAGAAUGUUAUUCAAAUUCUUUGUGCUUUCAUUCUCGUUCCUCUUAUGUAUCUUUUUAUCUACAUUGUACUUGCUUAGCAAAGCCCACUUUGUAGAGGUACUUUUGCUUUUAUCUUGUAAAAGAGAGAAAAGGGUUCUACCUUAGCCUUCAAAAGGUAAGAUUUAGAGGUUGUGCCAUAUCCUUGAAAAGGCAUAGAGGUUUUAACUUAGCUUUGAAAAGUUAGGAAGGUUGUGUCUUAUUCUUGAAAAGACAAGGUUUGUGCUUAAACCUUUGAAAAGGCACGUUGUAUUAAAUUUAUUUAAUAGUGGAUUAAACUCCUUAGCUUGCUAAGGGAGAGGACGUAGGCAC